Rosa rugosa (rugosa rose) is the source of this 425-nucleotide long non-coding RNA. RefSeq lists it as uncharacterized. NCBI's taxonomy places the organism in Eukaryota, Viridiplantae, Streptophyta, Magnoliopsida, Rosales, Rosaceae. The transcript is spliced from 2 exons. The record is from RefSeq and is a predicted model, not a curated record.
UUCAACUCACUUUUGACUUACAAGUAAGAUGCUAAAGAUUAAUUUUUAAUGCAUCUUUCUAGUCUUUAUAAACAUGAAGCUGAAUCAUUUUUCCUUCAAGCCUUAAGAUCAAGUGCAAAACUGAUUUGGAAGUCUUAGUUGUAGAGAAAACUCACCUCACAAAUCCUUCAUCCUUUUCUUUCAAGAAACUCCCUUUGUUUUUCUCAAAGAAGUCCAAGCUUGGAUCCAAGACCAAAAUCUUCACUUCACUUCUGAGUUUCUUAAGUAACGAGUAGAUGCAUGGGGAAAAAGGGGAUGAACCUACUAAAUAAAAGAAAGUUUUUCCUACUACUAUUUCAAGAGAAUGAGUACUGUAAUAUAUUUUGCUAAACUUUGGUAUUGUACAAAUAAUGAUGUCGUUUUCUAAUAAAAGUACUAUUCAGAUA